Molecule: long non-coding RNA, 622 nt
Organism: Canis lupus familiaris (dog)
Lineage: Eukaryota; Metazoa; Chordata; Mammalia; Carnivora; Canidae
Exons: 3
Source: RefSeq, a predicted model, not a curated record
GGCUGGGGGCGGAGCGCGGGCCGCCGCCCGAGUGGCUGCGCCCGAGCAGGAAUUUCAGGGCGGAUGGAGUCCUCAGGCUCCCAAAGUUACCUGAGGCCCCAGACCGGUGUGAGGGCGUGCAGGUGUCCUCUGCGUCUCCUCCACGGGUCCCCGCCGGGGUGGAGGGGCCCGCCUGCCCCUGAAGACGCCCGCAGCACCAACUGCUCCAGCGACUGCGUGGGCUAAUGGGAAGUAACAUUCUUCCAAUGGGUGUCAUCAGUCAGUGAAUUCUAGGAGUUGGCAAGCAACAAUAAAAGUAGCUUAUGAAAGAGCAAGAAAUGAGUAGAGACACCCAAAAUUGGCCAGUAGAAUAUGCAAAUAUUCUCCACGGUUGCCUGUGAAAUUAAGAAAGGAGAAUGUGAAGGGAACAUGCAUAUCUGCAAUCCUGCAAGAGGAAAUUUGAAGAAGCACAACCCCAGAAAAUGUGAACAUUAGAAGAAGAAUCUUAGGAGGGAGAAGGUAUUAGGAAAGAAAACUUGACAGAUGAGAGAUUUUCUCACAGGAUGUCAUAACCGAAAGGAACGUAAGAGUGUUACCUGGGAAAGAAACCAUCAUAGCUGAAAAAUCAAAAGAAGCCAGGUAG